UACUGAGUAUCCUUCAAAAUGGUGCUGAAUAAAAAAAAGGCAAGCUGAUGCUUGUUCGGACAGUGAACAUCAUGGAAGUUUUGAGCAGUUGAAAGCAGUAACUCACUUGGAGCUAUCAACAUACUAGAUACUGCACAGCCUAUAAAGCAAGGUUUUUGCUUCUGAAGGGUUUGAAGAUCUCUGAGGACCCCAGGACUGCAUAAUUUACACAGGAUAUCUCUACUCAGAUACAGCAUCAGGAUUUCAGGGAGAUUCAGCUUUUUCAGUUUUCCAGUUGAGCUGGCUGAAGCACGAGGCGAUCAAGUGCCCUGCACUGUCAUACAAUGAAUCAAGAGUUUUUCCAGGAUUCUGCUGCCUCGUACUCAGGGACCAGAAGUGCUUGGGCAUUUCUAAUUGUUAAAAAGAUAGGAAACUGUCCAAGUAACCACUUGCCAAAACUUUGAAUUCUACUCUGCUAGAGGAAUAUAAUGUUUUAAAAGAUUAUUUUCAGAGGUAGGACUGUUGCUGUCUUAUGUGGAAUAUUAAAAUAAAGAAAAGACACAACAUAUAAAGUCAGAAACAGGAGCCAGAAGGUGACUUCAGUUAAAUACUCUGUGGUAAACAGCUAAAGAUUGCACUGAAAUCACAACUCAUUAAGACUGAAUUUUUACUUCAACAUUGUAGAGUUAAAGUAAAUGCUCAGUGUUACAGCGUGAAGCUGUGAAACCAGCGUCACUGAAGCUAAAAGACAACCAGCUGAGGCUGAAAGCUCAACAAUGAUGACCAGAGUUAGAAAGCAACAGUGAAAGCAAAAAUAGUGGCAGUGUGAGUGAAUCUGCAGCAGCAAUGAUGUGAGACUCCAAAAGAGAGAAAAAAAAUCAGAAAAAAAUUCCCAGUUCAGUCAGUUACAGAUCUGCUCUAAAAUUCUCCAUUGCAAAGGAGACAGUUCAAACUCAUUCGUGAAACUAUUCUUCCUCAUGAUAAGAAAAAUAGUUUAAAAAUACAGUCAGAAAUGAAAAUAGGAACUCUGUUACAGGGUGGUUGUCUGCCAAAUGGCUUUUUAGUGUUUUUUUCUCAGAAGCAAGCAGGUAAGAGAAAUGGCAAAGAACUACUUUAAGUGCAGUAUUGCAUGAGAUAAGCAAAUAAAUUCCAUUUAUGAAGCAGUCUAAAACCUUUGCAGAGACUAAUGCUUCCCUGAAAGGCUCUGAUACGUUGCUCUCAAAUCUUGUUUUUUUCCCCUGACUCAGUUAAGCUAAGAACAAAAGCACAGCUGUAAACCUAGAUGAGGGAUCCGAUAAAACAAAGUUAUGAUUAGACAAUGCUACAUUAGGAGGUUUCUUAAUAGGAUAAAAAUAUAUUUGCAACCUGAUUUUGGUUUUUUUCAGCCCUUCCUGUUCCAGCUUACUCUGUUCAUUCAUUUUUAUGCUUUUUUAACUUUUGAAAGCAGAGAAAUAAAUGAUUCUCUCCUUGACAUUAUUUCCAUUUCUUCUUCCUACUUAGAAUCUAAUAAGUAGCACAAGAGAUUUCCAGUCUCUUAUGCUCUUUGCAUCCCUUCAUGAAUGUGAAUUUUAACAAAAUUUUUAGAAAAUAAUUUUUAGUCUUUCAGUUGACAACACCUCACAGAUUCCUUGGUUUUUUUAAUGUAAUUCAAAUCUAAAUUGGCCUGAUUAAUAGUAUUUGUACCUUGAUUAAUGAAUAUUUUGUCAAGUCCAAUAAUAAGCUUCUGGAAUGUUUUUGUUACGGUUUUCGUAUUGCACGCUUGAGUUUAAUAAGAAGUUUUUUUAUUAGAAAAUACAUUUUACAGAAUUUUCUAGAGAAAUUAAGAUCUAGUCUGUGAACUCUGCAUUUAAAGAUACUUGCUGGUUUCCAAAGCACCAGUCUUCACUUAGUUCUGGUACCUUUCAAAUCAGUGUUUAAAUUAAUGUUACAGUUUCAUUAGCUGCAGGAUUAGGUCUGAUGUGAACAUUUGAAGAAAUCAUAUCUAAGGACCAAGUUUUUCACCCUGUGGCUUUAAUGGGAACCUGAUAGAGCCCAAAGAUGAUGUAAGGGGAAACAAGUCUGCAGAUAGAUUGUAUUACUCUUAAUAUCCAUUUGAUAAGGUUUGUUAUAAGUAUGUGAUGAGCGAACUGAAUAAAUAGAAACUUUUAUAAGUCCUAAAGGCCAUUUUAAAAUAUUUUGCCGAAACAAAAUAUUAUCUGAAGCUCCAAAUGACUUGUACACGUGCCUACUAGUUUUAUUAUGGUUUUCCUUUUAUUUUUCAUCUUCAGUCUUAUCCAUCAAAAUAACACACAAGUAAUAGACAAGGUCAAAAUAGUAAGGAUUUGAAAAUAAGAGGAAAUAAACUCUGAUAAGUGGCAGCUACCUAUUUCAUUGCCGCUGUAGUGAUCAUGGACCGCUAGAUCACAUGCACUCAGGGUUUUUGGUUGUUUCCACUGCCCAAAGAAACAAGAUCACAACAGUAUAAUCUUUGUAUUUCCUUACUUUCUUCCCUAAUUCGGUAAGACGUGGGCAUGAGUUGAACUUAAUUUUUGUUAUCUGUAUUUAGAAUCAGUAAUGCCUAUUAGAUAGCAGCACAGUACAGUAGCGUGGUUCCAAUAGGAUUCCCUUUGAAACUUUACCCUUAGUGAGAAUUCGAUUAAGCUGAAAUCCAGAGAACUUUGCACUAUUUAAUAUGUUCAAUUUUUAAUUGUUUAGUACAUUUCCUUUAUCUACAUAGUAGGGUUAUAUGUUGGUGGUGUAUUUUCUUUUAUUUACUUGUAUUU
This is a non-coding RNA of Struthio camelus australis, 2741 nucleotides long. The record is from RefSeq and is a predicted model, not a curated record. NCBI's taxonomy places the organism in Eukaryota, Metazoa, Chordata, Aves, Struthioniformes, Struthionidae.